AUUUGAUGGUAGCAAGGUUGGUAGGAAAUCUUGGUUGAGUCUAAGGCUGCGUAGCAAGCAUAACUCGGUCACGUGUUGAGAGAGCUACUUCAGUGUUGAUAAGUUGUAGAGAUCUCCCCUGUUCUUUAACAGUUCUCGCUUCCGGUACAGGGGUGUGAUCAUGGCACGACUGCUUACUUGCUUUUUACCCAAACAUGAGCUAACUUCUAAAUGAGGCAAGACGAGAGAAGAAAUAACUAACCCCCAUCACCUAACUUCUAAAGCAAACAAGGGAGUAUUUUGUGUCCGCUCACAUUUUCUCGUCCUUCACAUAAAGGGCAAUGUUAAUAUUAAGAUUUGGGGUUAGGGUCUUUGUGUGCAUUUUGAUUAUGUGGCUGUAAAUAAUUUGAUUAAUUUCUCUUUGAUUUGUUGAUUCUGAAUUUUCCUUUUUCAGCAGUGUAUAUAACAAUGUGAAUACUAAAGAAGUUAUGUGUUUUUAAGUGGCAGGACUAUGCCACGAAGCCUGAUGUGAAUUGAUUCUGAAGUUUCCUUUUUCAGCAGUGUAUAUAACAAUGUGAAUACUAAAGAAGUUAUGUGUUUUUAAGUGGCAGGACUAUGCCACAGAGCCUGAUGAGAAACUUAUACGAAAUGCAACACAUUUGAUGGUAGCAAGGUUGGCAGGAAGUCUUGGUAAUGUAACCUGUAAGGUUGAGUGUAAGGCUGCGUAGCAAGCAGAACUCGGUCCCGUGUUGAUAGCUCUACUUCAGUGUUGAUCAAGUUCCAGAGAUGUCCCCUGAUCUUCAGCAGUGAGGUGUUAUAGCUGUAACCACUACUCGUAGGAUUUUUAUGCUAGUGCACUUUGAGCACACAGUUUUGUAGGGACUAACCCGGAGUUGUCCUGGUUCUCACUUCUGGUAUAGGGGGGCACCACCCCUUACUUGCUUUCUACGUAAACAAGGAAGUAUUCUAUCUCCCUUUACAUUUUCUUGUCCUUCACAUUUAAGCUAAUGUUUAGAAUAGUUUUGAGGUGUGGUUGUUUGCGUGCAUUCUUCUUUUUGUGGUUGUAAUUUAUCAUAUUUGUGUAUGUAUGCAAGGUUUUCUCUAUUGAUUUUCACCAUAAAUACUUUUUAUGGGUUAUUAGUGUCGACUAGUUUAUCUCAAGGGUUGGAGAACUAAGAUUCCAUAAUUUAAAACACCUAACUUAGUAGUAUUUUAAUAAUAUGUGAAAAUGAACAAUACAGCUGAACAAGACAUGCUGCCGAACAAGACCAAGUACAUAUCUUAUAGUAUUUUCUAUGGUCUCUAGAUAUUUUCUCUCUGGUGAACGUGGAGUCUGUUGAUGUUUUUUCUGAUUAAUGGGAUUUACUUUUAAAAGCAAUAAUACUAGCAAAUAACUGAUAUAAAAAAUUUGGUAAAAGAUUGUGUUAAUUUAAUCCAUUGUGUAAUAUUGUUUCUAUUUUGCCCUUGUUGCAUUUAAACCUUGUAUACAUGCAGUCCAAACCAUAGAUGGGAAACAGAUCAACAACUUUUUUUUAGGAGAUAGAGAGUGUUGUGCAACUAUUUUUUAUGCUAGCCUUUAUGUACUAGGUCAAAUGAGCCCUUUGUCCUAAGCUAGACCACCCGUCACAUUCACAACAACGAGUUUAUGAGGUUAUUCUCUGACAAAUUCUAGGACAUCUAAGUUGAUUCAGGUGGUCAGGCAAGAAUCGAUCCAUCCAGAGCUCAAAUGCAUUUCCAGUUUGACCCUCCGCUUCAUCAGUAGGUGGAUUUUCCUAUCAAUUUGUAUCGCUACUUCUGACGAAAUGAGUGUUAGCACUGGAAUUGGUGCUAUGCCUCACACACCCGAAAUUGGCUCUGACGAGAUAGAACUUGUUGGAUCCCCGAUACCUCCAAGUUAUUGAUGGAACCUUUCAGUUAUGCAAACGAACCUGGAAAUGCUGCACAUCAUACUAAUGCAACUCUGUCUGCCGAGCAUCCUGGGACAAAUGUACCAUACUAUCUCAGAGAAGGACAAUAUUUCCGAUGAUGCACCAUAUAAUUUCACAGGCUGGAUUUGGUCUAGAAGUGGGGAUGAUGUCAAUCCUACAUGGAGCUAAGGAGGAGUUAACUUCUAAAUGAGGCAAGAUAAGAGAAGAAAUACCUAACCCCCAUCACCUAACUUCAAACGCAAACAAGGGAGUAUUUUGUUUUCGCUCACAUUCAUUUUCUUGUCUUUCACAAAAAGGACAAUGUUAAGAUUAAGAUUUUGGGGUGAGGGUGUUUGUGUGCAUGCUUGAUUAUGUAGUUGUAAAUAAUUUGAUUAAUUUCUCUCCGAUUCGUUAAUUCUGAAGUUUCCAUUUUCAGUAGUGUAUAUGAGAAUGUGAAUACUGAAGAAAUUAUGUGUUUUUAAACGGCAGGACUAUGCCACAGAUCCUGAUGAGAAACUUAUACGAAAUGCAACACAUUUGAUGGUAGCAAGGUUGACAGGAAAUCUUGGUAAUGUAACCUGUAAGGAAUCACAAUCGGAGUUGAUACUGAUGAAUGGAAUCCAUCCACUGAUACACAUCUUCCUCGAUUGAUAACCUCUCUGGAAAUGUUGUGUUACACUAAAAUUUUAAAUAUUAUUCCACCAUUUGUGUUUUUCUACGACAGUUAGAUCAGCUAUCGAAGGACCAAAUUUGCUUUGGAUUGUGAUCUUGAGUUUGGUCCUACUGCUUAUCUAAUUUCUGCUUAUGUUCAUUCUACGUUGAGUGUAAGGCUGUGUAGCAAGCAGAACUCGGUCCAGUGUUGAGAGCUCUACUUCAGUGUUGAUCAAGUUCUAGAGAUGUCCCCUGUUCUUCAGCAGGGAGGUGUUAUAGCUGUAACCACUGCUCGUAGGGUUUUUACGCAAAGGAGUCAAUGUGGAGUUAACUUCUUUGGAGCCAAGAUGAGAAAAGAAAUACCUAACCCCUACAACCUAACUUCCCACACAAACAGGAGAGAUUUCGCUUAUCACAUAAAGGGAAAUGUUAAGUUUCAUUUUGGGGGUGUGGGUGUUUGUGUUUGUGUUUGUACCAUGUGUCCUUUGUAUUUUGUGUAUAGUAAUAGUGUAGUGUGU
Molecule: RNA transcript, 3055 nt
Organism: Salvia splendens (bonfire salvia)
Lineage: Eukaryota; Viridiplantae; Streptophyta; Magnoliopsida; Lamiales; Lamiaceae
Exons: 12
Source: RefSeq, a predicted model, not a curated record